RNAcentral lists this long non-coding RNA (438 nucleotides) under Rhinopithecus bieti (black snub-nosed monkey). RNAcentral describes it as "lncRNA (ENSRBIG00000046401.1)". Lineage: Eukaryota; Metazoa; Chordata; Mammalia; Primates; Cercopithecidae. The record is from RNAcentral.
CGGUCAGCAGCAGAUUCUCUGAUUCCACCCUGUUCCCAGGAGCUCUCAUUUCUAUCCGCGGCUCUUCACUUCUGAACUUCAUAAAGGACAGGAUGAAACAGUCAUAAGGAGAGAUGGUUCUUCCUGAAGCCAUUGUGAUUGGGAAGAAGCCGAGUUCUGUGGAGGGACAGUGGAAACUAUGCUCCACAUCCAUCCUACCCCAAAGUCAUUCUCCCCAGAGCUCUCCAGGUGGCCCCUCACCUGCUCACAGCCUUGCCCUCGAAGUGGCCUGUUAUCUUUCACGCAAAAGAUACUGCAUAGAGGAAAUUCCGUGAACCACAUUCGACUAUCUUCCAAUCCAAGAGUAAUUUGAGUCAAAUUGUCCAAGAAGUGCCUUUCUCUAUGAUGAGGAUGACAGUGAUGACAGUCAUCCCUCAUGGAGCAUGUACUGUGUACCAG